GUAUUAGUUAAGUUCUUGAAACCCAAAGGAUUUGGCGGUAUUUUAGUCCUUUCAGAGGAGCCUGUCCUGUAAUCGACAUUCCACGAUAGGUUUUACUUAUUCUUGUGUUCAGUUUGUAUACCUCCGUCAUAAGGGUAUUUUAUCAGAGUAAAUGCCCACUAAUAUUUAAUAUUAAUAUGUCAGGUCAAGGUGCAGCUUAUGAAUAAGGUGAGAUGGGCUACAAUAGACUUAUUUAAACGGAUUUCUUUAUUUAUAUUAGAAUGAAGGCGGAUUUGAAAGUAAAAUAAAUAUUUAGUUUUUUUGAACUUGGCUCUAAAUUAUGCACACAUCG
Molecule: ribosomal RNA, 331 nt
Filed under: Neurobasis ianthinipennis
Lineage: Eukaryota; Metazoa; Arthropoda; Insecta; Odonata; Calopterygidae
Description: partial 12S ribosomal RNA
Source: RNAcentral